RNAcentral lists this ribosomal RNA (999 nucleotides) under Clostridium tyrobutyricum. Its description in RNAcentral is "bacterial SSU rRNA". It matches the Rfam family "Bacterial small subunit ribosomal RNA", at positions 37 to 1052 of the family's 1533-position model. Lineage: Bacteria; Bacillati; Bacillota; Clostridia; Eubacteriales; Clostridiaceae. The record is from RNAcentral.
GUGGGGAGGGCUGACAGCACAUGCAAGUCGAGCGAUGAAACCCCUUCGGGGGUGGAUUAGCGGCGGACGGGUGAGUAACACGUGGGUAACCUGCCUCAAAGUGGGGGAUAGCCUUCCGAAAGGAAGAUUAAUACCGCAUAAAGCCAAGUUUCACAUGGAAUUUGGAUGAAAGGAGUAAUUCGCUUUGAGAUGGACCCGCGGCGCAUUAGUUAGUUGGUGGGGUAAUGGCCUACCAAGACAGCGAUGCGUAGCCGACCUGAGAGGGUGAUCGGCCACAUUGGAACUGAGAUACGGUCCAGACUCCUACGGGAGGCAGCAGUGGGGAAUAUUGCACAAUGGGCGAAAGCCUGAUGCAGCAACGCCGCGUGAGUGAUGAAGGUCUUCGGAUUGUAAAGCUCUGUCUUUUGGGACGAUAAUGACGGUACCAAAGGAGGAAGCCACGGCUAACUACGUGCCAGCAGCCGCGGUAAUACGUAGGUGGCGAGCGUUGUCCGGAUUUACUGGGCGUAAAGGGUGCGUAGGCGGAUGUUUAAGUGAGAUGUGAAAUACCCGGGCUUAACUUGGGUGCUGCAUUUCAAACUGGAUAUCUAGAGUGCAGGAGAGGAGAAUGGAAUUCCUAGUGUAGCGGUGAAAUGCGUAGAGAUUAGGAAGAACACCAGUGGCGAAGGCGAUUCUCUGGACUGUAACUGACGCUGAGGCACGAAAGCGUGGGUAGCAAACAGGAUUAGAUACCCUGGUAGUCCACGCCGUAAACGAUGAGUACUAGGUGUAGGAGGUAUCGACCCCUUCUGUGCCGCAGUAAACACAUUAAGUACUCCGCCUGGGAAGUACGAUCGCAAGAUUAAAACUCAAAGGAAUUGACGGGGGCCCGCACAAGCAGCGGAGCAUGUGGUUUAAUUCGAAGCAACGCGAAGAACCUUACCUGGACUUGACAUCCCCUGAAUAACCUAGAGAUAGGCGAAGCCCUUCGGGGCAGGGAGACAGGUGGUGCAUGGUUGU